RNAcentral lists this long non-coding RNA (601 nucleotides) under Homo sapiens (human). RNAcentral's name for it is "HSALNT0085856". Lineage: Eukaryota; Metazoa; Chordata; Mammalia; Primates; Hominidae. The record is from RNAcentral.
AAAUUCCAAGGCCCAGACAGAAAGUAAUCUGUACUAUUGAAAGUUUGUACCUGUUGGGCACUUGUUGGAAAGCUGGGAAAAUUGUGUUCUCCAGUGCCAUACAGAACUACCAUUCCACAAAUUUACUAAGUCAAAUCAUUUCUUCUGAAGAGGCAAGAAUUGAGGUUGCUGCAGACUUGUAUGACUUUGCCACCGGUAACUUGGAUACCUUCCACCAGUAACAUUUAAGGCACAUAACUGGGUAUUCAUAGUACUCGGGGGCCUUGCCAUUGUGUGAUUAAGACCACAGACUGUGAUGCUGCACUGCCCAUCUACCACACUGAAAAGCUGUCUGGACUUCUGCAAGUUUCUUAACCUCUCUGUACCUCAGACUCCUCAUCUGUACAAAAAAAGAAAUUAUAUAUGUAUAUAUAUACAGUGGUCACCUCACAGGAUUUUUUUGAAGAAUAAAAAAUUUUAAAUAAAUAAAACACUUAAUACAUGAAACACGACUGCAUUAUUUUUACUCAUUAAUUUUAAAUUGCAAGAGAGAAAAGGAGAAAUGAUUAUCAAGCAUUAUUUGUUCCUAUGAGGAUAAGUGGGAUUUUGAUAUAAGCAAAAC